This 1403-nucleotide ribosomal RNA is filed under the name uncultured bacterium. Its description in RNAcentral is "bacterial SSU rRNA". It matches the Rfam family "Bacterial small subunit ribosomal RNA". The record is from RNAcentral.
AGAGUUUGAUCCUGGCUCAGGGCGAACGCUGGCGGCACGCCUAAUACAUGCAAGUCGAGCGAUCGGCUGCGGGGAGCUUGCUCCCUGCAGUACGGAGCGGCGCACGGGUGAGUAACACGUGGGUAACCUGCCUCGAAGACUGGGAUAACCCCGGGAAACUGGGGCUAAUACCGGAUACCCCCCUCGGGUCGCAUGGCCUGAGGAGGAAAUGGGUUUCCGCUUCGAGAGGGGCCCGCGGCCUAUCAGCUUGUUGGUGGGGUAACGGCCUACCAAGGCUCUGACGGGUAGCCGGCCUGAGAGGGCGAUCGGCCACACCGGGACUGAGACACGGCCCGGACUCCUACGGGAGGCAGCAGUAGGGAAUCUUGCACAAUGGGCGAAAGCCUGAUGCAGCGAUGCCGCGUGAGGGAUGACGGCCUUCGGGUUGUAAACCUCUUUCAGCAGGGAAGAAGCCAUGGGUAACCAUGGUGACGGUACCUGCAGAAGAAGCCCCGGCUAACUACGUGCCAGCAGCCGCGGUAAGACGUAGGGGGCGAGCGUUGCCCGGAUUCACUGGGCGUAAAGCGCGUGUAGGCGGUUCGUUAAGUCGGGUGUGUAAUCUCGAGGCUCAACCUCGAAAUUGCAUCCGAUACUGGCGAACUUGAGGACGGUAGAGGCCGGUGGAAUUCCCGGUGUACCGGUGAAAUGGGUAGAUAUCGGGAGGAACACCAGUGGCGAAAGCGGCCGGCUGGGCCGAUCCUGACGCCGAGACGCGAAAGCCAGGGGAGCGAACCGGAUUAGAUACCCGGGUAGUCCUGGCCGUAAACGGUGCGGACUAGGCGUGGGGGGGGGCGUCAUGCUCUCUGUGCCGAAGCUAACGCGUUAAGUUCCGCCGCCUGGGGAGUACGGCCGCAAGGCUAAAACUCAAAGGAAUUGACGGGGGGCCCGCGCAAGCGGCGGAGCGCGUGGAUUAAUUCGAUGCAAAGCGAAGAACCUUACCCAGGCUUGACAUGCUGGAAGUAGGCGCCUGAAAGGGUGUCCCACCCGUAAAGUCGGGAACCAGCACAGGUGUUGCAUGGCUGUCGUCAGCUCGUGCCGUGAGGUGUUGGGUUAAGUCCCGCAACGAGCGCAACCCCCGCCAUAUGUUGCCAUCGGGUAGUGCCGGGCACUCAUAUGGGACUGCCGGAGAAACUCCGGAGGAAGGAGGGGAUGACGUCAAGUCAGCAUGGCCCUUACGCCUGGGGCUGCACACGCGCUACAAUGCACGGUACAACGGGCUGCGAUCUCGCAAGGGUGAGCGAAUCCCGAAAAGCCGUGCCCAGUUCGGAUCGGGGUCUGCAACUCGACCCCGUGAAGCCGGAGUCGCUAGUAAUGGCAGAUCAGCAUGCUACCGUGAAUGCGUUCCCGGGCCUUGUACACACCGC